This 230-nucleotide long non-coding RNA is filed under the name Elaeis guineensis (African oil palm). RNAcentral's name for it is "long non-coding RNA (EGUI_LNC044631)". The record is from RNAcentral. Lineage: Eukaryota; Viridiplantae; Streptophyta; Magnoliopsida; Arecales; Arecaceae.
CUCAAUAUUCAUACGACUAGAAAUAUUUAGGAUUAGAAUUUUAAGGUUUUAAGUUUUACAAGUAUGAACUCUUCACGGCCCUAAAAUCAUUAUUCUAAUCCAUGGGGUUCAUCAUAAUCUUUAACAUAAUAAGAUGUAGUUGAAAUGAUGAAUCAUGCCUCAUUUCAUUAACUAAUAAAUAAUGUUAUAUGAGUUGAAAAUUUACAAAAAAAAGUUCCAUCACAUCACUC